CUGGGGCGCCCCGCGGGCGGAAGUCUUUUCCCGACGUCUCGGCGCGGCUAGGAAAUCUAACGCGUCGCUUAUUUAUCUAAACACAAGCUCUGGUGCGGAGUUCCCGCUGUCCUUAAAGAACAUGUGUCCUGCCCCGCCCCGACGCAGUAGAGGGCGAUCGUCCCGGGCCUGCACUCUGCAGCGGGCAGCGAACACCGUCGCGACGUCUGCGGUCUUAUUACACUAGAUUGUCCAAGUCCGCGGUCAGUCGGUUGCUGCGGGCCCUUCCGUGGACUAAUCCGGCGACUGUCCCCACUGCCUCAGUGUCUUUAGCCUGGCAAAGGGCAGGGGGGUGGUGUCCUAGGAAGCAGCCCGCUCCGGCGUGGCCGACUGCUUCUCAUUGUUAAGCCCCGGCCCUUGUUCAUACUCAGGUUCAGGAUUUGUGCGGGGCCGCCGCCCAGCACACGUGACGCCUGCGGUCUCAGCCCCGACACCGGUGUGCCGGAGGGCGCAAGGCCUCGCGUCCUUUGUGAGCAACGCAGGUUAUCUAACCCGGGCUGUAGCUCCUCCCCUUGUGUCUCUACCAUGAUAGAAGCCCACAGCAAGAGCUGUGCUACUGUCCUGCAUCACCUAGGAGCGGCUGACUUUGGUACAGCUGGUGGCUCCUGCUGUCCAAUCAGUCUCGUGGCACCCUGCAGGAUCCUGCACCAGCGGCUGCAGACUGCAAAUCCUGGCACUGGCCCAAGCCGCAGGGCUGUGGAGGUCCUCCCUUCGCGCUCCCGCAGGAACACCAUUGCCUUCUCAGAUUUUUGUUUUCUUCAUUUCUCUAGUAUAUAGUUAAAAAUGAAUUGUGGUUUCUUUCUUGGCUUGGGUCCCAAUAAAAUCUCGCAAUACCAAAACACAUUUGACAAAAUCCAGUACCUAUUCAUUUUUCAAAAAAGCACUCAAAUAAUAAUAGUUGGUUUAUUUUAGUGUGAUUAUAAAUAUGCAGCUCCUAAACCAUCUUCCUUGAUGGGGUGAAACCAGGGGCACUCAGGUGAAAAUCAGGAGUAAGACAAGGGAGCUCACCUGUUCCCACGGCUGGUUAACCCUGUGGCAGCAGCCGUGCAUGCAGAUAAGAAAAGCAACUGGGAUAAGAAUUAGGGAAAAGAGUGUAAAAAGUCUGGUUUUCAAGGGGUAUAUCUGGAAAAAACACUACAGUGAUGAGCUAAAAAAUACUAUUGAGCAGUGAACAUGGGAAUCAGUCAUCUUCAUACAUGAAGAAAGUAAUCAGAAGAGGGAAUCAGAGAAGAUCUCGCUUAUAUGACCCAGAAAAGAUAAAAAGAGAAAGCACAAGUUUAUUGAGUAUGCAAAACCUGCACAAGAAAGCUCUGUAACUCCGCUAGUUUCUACACUCUAAAGAGUAGAGUACUGGUUAUCAGAGACACAGAUUACAAGACAGAAAAAAAAUCAAGAAAUGACUUUAAGUGCAUGUGGGAAUACAACAUCACUGUCACUAGGAGUCAGUAUUGGAUAACGUGGACUUUUUAACUAAUGGGGAAUCACUUGGGAAAAGGUAAAAAUCGCACACACACUUCAUACUAUAUAUUAGGACAAAUUCCACCAGUCAGAAAUUUAAAUGUAAGAAAAUAAAGCCAUGGGUCAUUACUUUUAUAACUUCAGAGUAGAGAAUCCUUUCUUACUGUGACCAAACUGUUUCACCAACAGUUAAAGGUGGAUAUUAUUAUCUAUGUAGAAUGAAAAAUAAUUUGCAUGGGAAAGGAACUAAAUAAAAGAUAAGUCUUAUAAAAAGAAAACAGAAGUAAAGGAUAAGAAAACACUGAGUCUGGGAGGGCCAGUCUCAGCAAUAGUCUGGGAAGGUGAGCAGAGCCCAUGGGCACUGAGUUCUGGACCACAGUAGAGAGGAGAGGAGGCUACUAUGCUACAGCAGCCCGCCACCGCCAUGAACUGACGCGGCCAGGGCUGCUAGAAACGCCAUCUUCACACUGUGAAGUACUGCUCCCUGGCAGGAGUCGCUCCACUUGUGGUCCCAGGACAAGCUGCCACAGUACUGCCUGAGGGACCAGUCGGAGCUGGUCUAAGGAAGCAUCUACGUGGGGCAGAAGAGGUCUGACGAGCUGUGUGAAAACAGCAAACCGCAUGCUGAUCCCAGGUGGGCGGAGGACUUAUCACUUAUGGCUGAAAUAACAAGUUCUAAACACCAAAUUCCAAAGAGGCAGAAAGGCCAACAAUGAAGCCCUUCCUCCCAACAUCCCUCCUGGGCCCCAGGUUCUGUGUAACAGAGAAAGAAACUGAUGGUGAACAGAGAAGAAUGAGGGUGACAGAAAUCCGGCCAGUGCAGGAGGACUUUAAAGCUUUUAGAUGCCAUAUGCAGUCCUCAGACCAAAAGCCAAAUAAAAGAUAGCUUCCCGUACCAGAUAACCAAUGCAACAGUAUUUAUUCAUACAUUUAUGCAGUUAAAAGGCUGAUGAUAGCUAUUGUUUGGUAAGAAGCUUAAAUAAGGAAAUAAUUUAUAUGACCAAAAUUAUUUUAGAAGUUUAGUAUUACAAAAACAGCUACUUUAUGCACAUAUGUAUAAAUAUAAGAAUGAACAAAUCAGCACUCUAAGGAAAGGGCAAAAGGGCAGGGGGAGACUUUUCCUCAAGUGUUCCAUCUUUGUGAUCCUAGAUAUAUUUCUGUUCUGACUUCCGGUUCCUUGAGAAUUCAGAAAAACUAGAGUCCAUCUUUACUUCAUCUUCUCAUCUUUCUGGAAAAAAAAAAGUUUAACAAUAAAACAAACCCAACUAACGCUUAUGCUGUGGUGCACCAAGAAAAGUCCUUCCUCAUCCCAGGGUAAAAGCAGCUUCCAAACCACAGGCUUUGAAAUACUGACAGCGGAGUUAAAAAUAAGGUGUAGGGAAACUAUCCACCAGGAUUCUCACACCACGCCCACCACACAUUUCCUCCUCUGGAUGCCCCCACAGCACGCCUCCCCCUGCCGGCAGGAGUGCUGGCGGGUUGUGCUGACCACACCUGUGCCUGUCUAGUUUCCACCCAGAAAGGCACAGAGCUGGGCUCCGGCUGCACUUGGCCUUCGUGUUGGGAACUCACACUGCAGGGACUUUUCCUGACUCCAUUUCUUCAGCAACAUCUCUGUAGAAACACCGAACACACUGCUUUCCCAUCCUGUGCCUGACUCUGCUGUCAGCAGGCUGCUCCUGCUGGAACCCUGGCCUGUGUGUGCCCUGCACCUUCCUCUUCUGUGAGGAGCCAGCCUGAAGACCUCCAAUUUGGAGCUGGCAGUGUGAGCAGGUCUGGCCACCAGGCCUGGGGAGCGCCAUCGCACAGCAACAGACAGCUAGGACAACUCCACACACGCAGCGCGCACACCCAGCACCCAGCACCCACUUCCACACAACGCCCCAUCAUGAAAGAAUCAGACUUCUUGAAGGAGUGCCAGCUUCCAAGGCUGGAGAACACGAGCGCCUGGAACAUUCUGUAUGUCAGAAAACAAGGAAUUGCUCCAAAUAAUGUGAAACCUUAUCAAAACCAAUCGGAACAAACUCCUAAUAUGCAGCUGGAAUGACAUGGAAACACCCGAGUCCACAUGUGAGAGAUACAUGAGGACAAGGGACAGCUUCGACUGGGUUUCUCCGUUGUCCGCUCCCUGCUUCCUGGCCCUUCUGAACCUUCAUCCACUGUGACAGGAAAACGCAGGGAAGGGCACGGCCACUUUGGAAACUUCCCGGCAGCUCCACAAUGCCUACAGUCACCGUGACAGGGACUCACACCUGCACAUUCACCUGAGCGAUGGCAGCAGGCGCACACAAAGCUGGCCCGAGUUUGCACACCAACACCACUCACGACAGCAACCUAAACACCCAACGAGAGGGGGGCGAAAUGCAGUUGGGAAGGGGACAAAUUACUAGGCCCCAAGCCAGUGAGGACUGACCCGGGGACACCGUGCUGCUAACAGCAGGGCCGGGCACAAAGCUCUCACGCUGUGUGGCUCUGUCGCUACAGGUGUGCAGAGCAGGGAGCUCUGAGGGGAAAGGGGGGCAGCAGGAAAUGGGGUUGCAGCAGGGCAGAAGGUCACAGCUACUCAGAGUAUAGGAUGCCUUUCAGAGGGGAAGAAAUGGGCUGGGAUCCACCUAAAUCAAAGGGUGGAGAUUAUGAUGUAUGGCCAGAGGAAUUGCGUUCUGUCUCAGGAAAGCUAUUUUUUAAAAAGCUGUUGAUCCUUUAUUUCUUGAUUUUUUUCUACCCAGCCUCCUGCUGCUGCCCUCUACUGGCCAUGUGUAAGUACUGUACCCGUGGGCACUACCCAGCCCAGUGUGUUUGAGAAGGGCAGAAUGAGUAAAAGCGGAGAAGAUGCUGUCCCAACUGGGAUGGAAGUCUCGGAAACAGUCUUCUUGACUUACACUUAACAAGACCAGGGGCUGCACAGAACUCCUGCCGAGGCCUUGGGCAUUUUUGCAAUAAUCAAGGACAGCUGAAUAGAGAUUAGCUAUUCGAUGCCAGAAGGAAUUACUUCUAAUUUUGUUAGGUGUUAUCAUUCUUUAGUUUUAUAAAUAACUUUGCUAAGAAAUUUUUAUUUUUUAGAGAUACAGAGAAGUGUUCUAGGAAUCAAAUAAUUCAGUAUUAGGGAUUUGCUUAAAAAAAAAAAAAA
Fukomys damarensis (Damara mole-rat) is the source of this 4624-nucleotide long non-coding RNA. The record is from Ensembl. Lineage: Eukaryota; Metazoa; Chordata; Mammalia; Rodentia; Bathyergidae.